Molecule: ribosomal RNA, 1308 nt
Filed under: Centroceras clavulatum
Lineage: Eukaryota; Rhodophyta; Florideophyceae; Ceramiales; Ceramiaceae
Description: LSU rRNA
Rfam family: Eukaryotic large subunit ribosomal RNA
Source: RNAcentral
UGUUUGCAUGUUCAGCCUUUCGGGGUGCAUUCAUGCAAAGGUCUAUCUGUUGUGGGCUUUUGGCAGUCGAUUUUGGGCUGCUGGAGGCUGAGGGCUCCGCGUAAGCGUUGAGGACGACAGAGUGACUACGCGAUUCGACCCGUCUUGAAACACGGACCAAGGAGUCUAGCGCAGCUGCGAGUCAAAGGGUGCGAAACCCCAGGGCGCAGUGAAAGCAAAUUGUUUGUGAAAACCAGCAGUUUGAGGCGGCAUGUGAUCUUUGAUUGCAAGUCCGACCUAGAGCAGUUGCGCUGGGACCCGAAAGAUGGUGAACUAUGCCGGAGUAGGGCGAAGCCAGAGGAAACUCUGGUGGAGGCUCGUAGCGGUGCUGACGUGCAAAUCGCUCGUCCAACUCGGGUAUAGGGGCGAAAGACUAAUCGAACCAUCUAGUAGCUGGUUCCCUCCGAAGUUUCUCUCAGGAUAGCGGGCAGAUAUGACGUUGUUUUGUGCGGUAAAGCGAAUGAUUAGCGCAUUCGGGGACGUUUAGUCUUCGGGCGAUUCUCAAACUUUAAAUGCGCAAGGGUGCCGCUGCUUUAUUGAGCGGUACCGUUAAAAACGUCUGCCCUGUGGGCCACUUUUGGUAAGCAGAACCGGCGAUACGGGAUGAACCGUAAGCCUGGUUAAGGCGUCAAAUUGUCGGCUUAAAGAUCCCAAAAAAGGUGUUGAUUCAUCGAGACAGCAGGACGGUGGCCAUGGAAGUCGGAAUCCGCUAAGGAGUGUGUAACAACUCACCUGCCGAAUGAAUUAGCCCUGAAAAUGGAUGACGCUGAAGCCGACAGCCGACACCACGCCGUCUGACCAAAGUGGUUAUCAGAUGAGUAGGAGGGCGUGGCGGUUGUAUGGAAGCGUGGGUGCGAACCUGCGUGAAACGGCCGCUAGUGCAGAUCUUGGUGGUAGUAGCAAAUAUUCAAGUGAGAUCCUUGAAGGACGAAGCGGGGAAGGGUUCCACGCGAACAUUGAUUGAGCGUGGGUGAGUCGUUCCUAAGCCGAGUGGUUAUUGCUAAUUACCGGCGAAAGGGAAGCAGGUUGACAUUCCUGCACACGGAUGUGGAGGCGGUGACGCCGUAUUGGGGUGAUGACGUUGGCAGUGGCUCUGGGCAGAGUUGUCUUUUCUGUUUAACCGUCAGUAUGUACUCUGUGGAAUCCGCUUGUCGGGAGAAACAGGUAUGUACGGGCAUAGCGCCGGGGCUUUUCCGGCGUCCAGAUCGCCACUGACGACCCUUGAAAAAUCACUUACUGGGCAUGGACUCGUUCUGUGCAAAAUCCACG